UACGGGGGGGGCAAGCGUUGUUCGGAAUUACUGGGCGUAAAGGGCUCGUAGGCGGCCAACUAAGUCGGACGUGAAAUCCCCAGGCUCAACCUGGGAACUGCGUCUGAUACUGGAUGGCUUGAAUCCGGGAGAGGGAUGCAGAAUUCCAGGUGUAGCGGUGAAAUGCGUAGAUAUCUGGAGGAAUACCGGUGGCGAAGGCGGCAGCCUGGACCGGCAUUGACGCUGAGGAGCGAAAGCCAGGGGAGCAAACGGG
This 253-nucleotide ribosomal RNA is filed under the name uncultured bacterium. RNAcentral describes it as "partial 16S ribosomal RNA". It matches the Rfam family "Bacterial small subunit ribosomal RNA", at positions 524 to 776 of the family's 1533-position model. The record is from RNAcentral.